This 29-nucleotide non-coding RNA is filed under the name Mus musculus (house mouse). The record is from RNAcentral. Lineage: Eukaryota; Metazoa; Chordata; Mammalia; Rodentia; Muridae.
UAAUACAGAGGGAACCAGUCUAUUGUGGA